Molecule: long non-coding RNA, 289 nt
Filed under: Cyanistes caeruleus (blue tit)
Lineage: Eukaryota; Metazoa; Chordata; Aves; Passeriformes; Paridae
Description: lncRNA (ENSCCEG00000008292.1)
Source: RNAcentral
GAGCGGUGCGAGCAGCAAUUGGCGAGCGGAGAGCGCAGCCGCUCACCUGAGACAGGUGAGACAGGUGAGACAGGUGAGAGACAGGUGAGACAGGUGAGAUUGUACAGGUGAGACAGGUGAGACAGGUGACACAGGUGACACAGGUGAGACAGGUGACACAGGUGAGACAGGUGACACAGGUGACACAGGUGACACAGGUGACACAGGUGACACAGGUGGGACAGGUGACACAGGUGACACAGGUGACACAGGUGACACAGGUGAGACAGGGCGGGGGGAGUGGGACAGC